RNAcentral lists this ribosomal RNA (253 nucleotides) under uncultured bacterium. RNAcentral describes it as "partial 16S ribosomal RNA". It matches the Rfam family "Bacterial small subunit ribosomal RNA", at positions 524 to 776 of the family's 1533-position model. The record is from RNAcentral.
UACGUAGGGGGCAAGCGUUGUCCGGAAUCAUUGGGCGUAAAGCGCGCGUAGGCGGCUCGGCAAGUCCGCUGUGAAAGUCCAGGGCUCAACCCUGGGAUGCGGGUGGAUACUGCCGGGCUCGAGUCCGGAAGAGGCGAGUGGAAUUCCCGGUGUAGCGGUGAAAUGCGCAGAUAUCGGGAGGAACACCAAUGGCGAAGGCAGCUCGCUGGGACGUGACUGACGCUGAGGCGCGAAAGCGUGGGGAGCAAACAGG